This 1419-nucleotide long non-coding RNA is filed under the name Helianthus annuus (common sunflower). Lineage: Eukaryota; Viridiplantae; Streptophyta; Magnoliopsida; Asterales; Asteraceae. The record is from RNAcentral.
AUGGUUAUCAACUGAACUAUUUUAAGAGUGCCAUCAAGGAGUUUACGUACUCUCUAAAAAAGUGAGGCGGUUUAAAGAGGUUACCUAAUUUAUCUCCUAAAAUCAUGGUAAAAACCACCCAUUAUCUACAAAUCUGCUUCCUUAUAACCCACUUUGCAAUCCCCUCCUGAACGCACCAUCCUUUCAUCUCUACAGCGCCAAAUAUACGAGAUGGGCACUUUCAAAAACGAAGAUUGAUGUAACUCUGAAGUUGCACAUUAAUAAUUGAACCCUACAUUAAUGGAACAGCCAUUGCCCUCGCUUUUGAUUUGUUUUGUUUCACAAGACCAGAAUAUCUCGAAACUUUUUCAGCAAUUUAUUUGUGUAUAGAGUUUCUUGUAGGUGAGGGUUGAUCAUAUGGCUAUUGCUUUGUUAAGGACUUACAAAUCACCAAUUGUUAACACUGUACAAUUUCUUAUACUCUCGCUUAGUGGAGUCUGGAAAGUGACUCGCAUGAAGAAAAGUUAAGGUGAGCGAUUUAGCAACUUGGACUGUAAUCGAUGUUGGAACCGGCAAUGGAUGGAUACUACAGCUCAUUACUGUUGUUCAUCGCUAAAGCAGUGGAAUAAACAUUCAUCACUCUAAGUGCUCGCCACAUCAUCAUGUUGGCGCCAACUAGUAAGGUUUUGGUUAGAAAGUCAAUUGUUGACCAUGUUUGAUUGACCAACAAUAGGAUUAUGUACCUUGCCAUGAAAGAUUGCUUCAGAGUUGAGAGUUGAGCUGGAAAUGAAGCAACAAGUUGGAUACAUUGAUUAUGAUACUUGUAGGUGGUGGAUCAAAUAUAAUAUGGGUUUUUUUUUUCUUUUUCCUUUUUAGAUGAAGGAAUUUGUGGAAGUGAAAAAGGUGCUAACUUUGAAAGGGGUCAUAGCUUAAUUAUGUGUAUGAUAUAUUGAGGAGAAAAAUAUAUAGCCUGCAGAAGGAUCUACAAGAUUUGCAGUACACUAUUGAUGUACUGCAACAAGCGAGUAAUCUUAUGCAAUUUGUGGAAAUCUCCUGCAAUUGUUGGCAUUAAAAAAAGUCCAACCACUAAAAGGAAGCAUCAACAUCUACAGCUGAUCUUGUGAAAAUACAAGACAAAAUGGAAAUUAUCAAAAAGGAUAUCAUUUAGCCAAAACAGUGAUAUAGAGACAGGGGCAUAGCUUUGUUGUGGCCCGGGGUGCCCCUGCUCUCGCUGAUUUUUUGCUCAUAGGCGUGCGUCUCGGUUACUCUUUUUAAAACUUGCAGAUGAGAUGAAGUGCCUGAGGAAAAAAGUUGUCUUAAAUUGGAGGAUUGUGAAGAAAAAAUCAAUAUGGUUACAGUUGCAUCAAAUGAGCUUAUUCUCUUCUAUGAUGAGUUUGUUAUGCAUAUGGAUAUUGCACUUAUAUGACAGAAAUGAAAUUG